RNAcentral lists this ribosomal RNA (253 nucleotides) under uncultured bacterium. RNAcentral describes it as "partial 16S ribosomal RNA". It matches the Rfam family "Bacterial small subunit ribosomal RNA", at positions 524 to 776 of the family's 1533-position model. The record is from RNAcentral.
UACGGAGGGUGCGAGCGUUGUCCGGAAUCAUUGGGCGUAAAGGGCGCGUAGGUGGCCUGGUCAGUUCGUGGUGAAAGCGCGGGGCUCAACCCCGCGUCGGCCAUGAAUACUGCUAGGCUUGAGCACUGUAGAGGCAGGCGGAAUUCCUGGUGUAGCGGUGAAAUGCGUAGAUAUCAGGAGGAACACCUGUGGCGAAAGCGGCUCACUGGACCACAACUGACGCUGAAGCACGAAAGCUAGGGGAGCAAACAGG